CAGCUUCCAAGAUGAUGUUGUGAUUACACAAAUCCCAUCAAAGAUCAUAUUGAAGGAAUAUUAAACUGAAUUAACGUUCCACUUUGCCCGAUGAUCGUUUCUUGGUUAUUAUUAAUUUACCAUACAACGAUUAAUCCUAACAUGCUCCUAUGAAUUUAACAGCUGCACACAGGUGUUAGGAUUUACUUACUUGUGAAUCGGAUGCACAGAUGAUUGAUGAUCGUAUCGAACAACUCCAGUUCUGAUCUUCUAGACUGUAUCCCGCUCAAGUCUCACCGUUGGAUGGACAACGAACUAUGGAAAACCCAAGCAAAAAAUCACAAACGUUUCCUGCGCCCCGCUCAGCUCUCAAACCCUAUAUUAUCAGAGUGUUUCCCUGAGAGCUGACAACUGUAUUUAAUACAGAAAAAAAGCGAAGGCGCCAGAUUUAGGGUAGGGCACGAUUUCUGGCUCUUCUGGGCUAGGAGACAUUGGGCCAGCCCAGGGACCAAAUACAAGGAAUAAAGAUGGGCCUAAAAAUAAAUUAAUUAUCUAUGGUCAGCCCAGACCAUAAUUAAUUAUAAAUAUCAGUUCAUUCCACUAGAGAACCAAUACUGACUUACCCUUCAUUACCGGUGAUGAGUCGGGCUUGUAUUUAGACUUAUUAAAUCCCCGUAUUUAAAAUAUCCGACAUCCAUUAAUUAAUUAGAGCUCUGACAGCCUAAAUUAAUUAAUCUCUUAAUAAUCCUUAAGCAGUACCACUCAAAACUUAUUAUUGCGCCUGAACUUAAUCAACCUGCAGGGUUUAGCGCAAUAAACAUUAUUGAGCUCCUUAAGGGGAUGUCAUUAUCCUAUACGGAUACGAGUACCAAUACAGAUAAUCAGAUAUCAUAUAUUAACCGCUAUCACCCAAGAUACAGAGUACUCAAGUUACUAUAUAACUCUUGCUCAUAGUAAGUCAAAGUGAUAGACGAAUCAAUAUAUAUAUCUGACAUCUUAUUAAUAUUAAGAUCUUAUAAGUCACCGAGAUCUCUAAUUCUUCACUUAAGUCCGAUAGAAGAAUAUAUCUCACUAUGGUCCUAUCAAUACGUAUUACGUACCAGUAUAGAUAAGUAGUCAAGACAAACUAGUUCCAUCUAUACCGCAACCUAAACCAAUAACUUGUCCUAGAGUUAUUUCGGUUGUGAUCAUAUUAUAUCUCUUAAGGUUAAUCCAAUUAUAUGGUCUUCUGUGAUCUACAACACACCAUAUAAUCUACUUAUAUAGAGAUAAAGAACAUACAUAUGCAAUCAUGAACCCAAUCAGAUAGGAGAUUAAAUAGUGAAAACAAGAAUCAUUGUAUACAAGCAUAAAACGUUCUUGCUUUCAGUAUACAAAUCCAACACAUAUAAGUCAUGGUUUUGCCCAAGUAAAGAAAUAGAAUAUUUCCCAAAUCCCUAUCAUGCUUACAUGUUCCCAUAAAAUACCCUAAGAUCAUAAUUUUGCCUAGUGAUAAAGCAUAAUACUCCCCCAUCAUGCUCACAUGCUUCCACGAGAUAAAAUU
This 1522-nucleotide long non-coding RNA is filed under the name Salvia miltiorrhiza (redroot sage). RNAcentral describes it as "long non-coding RNA (SMIL_LNC001062)". Lineage: Eukaryota; Viridiplantae; Streptophyta; Magnoliopsida; Lamiales; Lamiaceae. The record is from RNAcentral.